ACGGCUCAGUAACACGUAGUCAAUCUACCCUAUGGACGGGAAUAACCUCGGGAAACUGAGAAUAAUGCCCGAUAGAACACUAUGCCUGGAAUGGUUUGUGUUCCAAAUGAUUUAUCGCCGUAGGAUGGGACUGCGGCCUAUCAGUUUGUUGGUGAGGUAAUGGCCCACCAAGACUAUUACAGGUACGGGCUCUGAGAGGAGUGGCCCGGAGAUGGGUACUGAGACACGGACCCAGGCCCUAUGGGGCGCAGCAGGCGAGAAAACUUUGCAAUGUGCGAAAGCACGACAAGGUUAAUCCGAGUGGUUUCUGCUAAAGAAACCUUUUGUUAGUCCUAGAAACACUGAUGAAUAAGGGGUGGGCAAGUUCUGGUGUCAGCCGCCGCGGUAAAACCAGCACCUCAAGUGGUCAGGAUGAUUAUUGGGCCUAAAGCAUCCGUAGCCGGCUCUGUAAGUUUUCGGUUAAAUCUGUACGCUCAACGUACAGGCUGCCGGGAAUACUGCAGAGCUAGGGAGUGGGAGAGGUAGACGGUACUCGGUAGGAAGGGGUAAAAUCCUUUGAUCUAUUGAUGACCACCUGUGGCGAAGGCGGUCUACCAGAACACGUCCGACGGUGAGGGAUGAAAGCUGGGGGAGCAAACCGGAUUAGAUACCCGGGUAGUCCCAGCUGUAAACUAUGCAAACUCAGUGAUGCAUUGGCUUGUGGCCAAUGCAGUGCUGCAGGGAAGCCGUUAAGUUUGCCGCCUGGGAAGUACGUACGCAAGUAUGAAACUUAAAGGAAUUGGCGGGGGAGCAC
RNAcentral lists this ribosomal RNA (793 nucleotides) under uncultured crenarchaeote. Its description in RNAcentral is "bacterial SSU rRNA". It matches the Rfam family "Archaeal small subunit ribosomal RNA", at positions 85 to 879 of the family's 1478-position model. The record is from RNAcentral. Lineage: Archaea; Thermoproteati; Thermoproteota.